RNAcentral lists this long non-coding RNA (4797 nucleotides) under Equus caballus (horse). RNAcentral's name for it is "lncRNA (ENSECAG00000046894.1)". The record is from RNAcentral. Lineage: Eukaryota; Metazoa; Chordata; Mammalia; Perissodactyla; Equidae.
UACUGGGAACAUCUCUUACAAAGGACUGCUAAACGCAGUUUCUUUCCAGCCCUGAUCUCCCUGAAGUAGAACUUCUGCUGGAUCGUGUCCUCCAUUGCCUUAGAGGUGCAAUGCACGAAGUCCUGCAUUCUUUCGUCAAGGGGAGACAUGACACAAACUGUCUUGCUUCCAGCUCUUUGCAAAGCUAAGAAACAACACCCUCUCCUCAGUGCUCUUACAGCCGAUCACAAACAGGUCUUACCAAGGCAUGUGAAAUGCAGUUUCUUCCAAGCCCUGAUCUCGCUGAAGUAGAACUUCUGCGGUGCCAUGUCCUACAUUGUCCUAGAGGUGGAAGGCAGAAAGCCCAGCCUUGUUUCCUCAAGAGGAGACAGGCCACAGAACGUCUUGCUUCCAGCUCUUUGGGAAGCUAUGAAACAACUCGCUCUCCACAGUGCUCUUAAAGCCUACCAGGAACAUCUCUCACAAAGGCUUGUGAAAAGCAGUUUAUUCCCAGCCCUGAUCUCGCUAAAGUAGAACUUUGGCUCUGCUGUAUCUUACAUUGCCCUAGAGGUGCAAGGCAAAAUGUCCUGCCUUGUUUCCUCAAGGGUAGGAAGGCCACAAAGCGUCUUGCUUCCAGUUCUUUGGGAAGCUAAGAAACAACUCCCUCUCCACAGUGCUCUGAGAGCCUACCGGGAACAUGUCUUACAAAGGCCUGUGAAACGCAGUUUCUUCCCAGCCCUGAUCUCAAUGAAGUAGAACUUCUGCUCUGCUGUGAAAUACAUUGCCCUAGAGGUGGAAGUCACAAUGGCCUGCCUGGCUUCCUGAAGACCAGACAGGCCACAGACCAUCUCCCUUCCAGCUCUUUGGCAAGGUGAGAAAGAACUUGCUUUCCACAGGGCUCUUACAGCCUACCGGGAAACUCUCAAACAAAGGCCUGAAUAGUAGUUGGUUUGCAGGCAUGAUCUCACUGCCUUGGAACUUCUGCUCUAAGCCAUGUCCCACAUUGCUCUAGAGAUGGAAGACACAAAGCACUGAGUCAGUGCCGCCAAAGGAGAAAAGCCAUAAACGUCCUUGCUUCCAGCUCUUUGGGAAGCUAAGAAACAACUCACUCUCCACAGUGCUCUUACGGCCUACCGGGAACAUCUCUCACAAAGGUCUGUGAAACACAGUUUCUUCCCAGCCAUGAUCUCGCUGAAGUAGAACUUCUGUUCUGCCUUGUCCUACAUUGCCCUAGAUGUUCAAGGCACAAUAUCCUGCCUGGUUACCUGAAAGGGAGGAAGACCACAAAGCGUCUUGCUUCCAGCUCUUUUGGAAGCUAAGAAACAAGGCACUCGCCACAGUGCUCUUACAGCUACCGGGAACAUCUCUCUCAAAGAUCUGUGAAACACAGUUUGUUCCCAUCCCUGAUCUCGCUGAAGUAGAACUUCUCCUCUGCCAGUCCUACAUUGCCCUAGAGGUGCAACACACAACGUCCUGCCUCGUUUCCUCAAGGGGAGACAGUCCACAAAGCGUCUUGCAUCCAGCUCUUUGGGAAGCUAAGAAACAUGUCGCUAUCCACAGUGCUCUUACAGCCUACCUGGAGCAUCUCUCACAAAGGACUGUGAAACGCAGUUUCUUUCCAGCCCUGUUCUCACUGAAGAAGAACUUCUGCUCUGCUGUGUCCUACAUUGAACUAGAGGUGCAAGGCUCAAAAUCCUGCCUUGUUUCCUCAAGGGUAGACAGGCCACAAAGCGUCUUUCUUCCAGGUCUUUGGGAAGGUAAGAAACAACUCGCUCUCCACAGUGCUCUUACAGCCUACCGGGAACAUGUCUCACAAAGGCUUGUGAAACGCAGUUUCUUCCCAGCCCUGAUCUCGCUGAAGAAGAACUUCUGCUCUGCCAUGUAAUACAUUGCCAUAGAGGUGGAAGUCACGAAGCCCUGCCUGGCUUCCUUAAGAGGUGAGAGGCCACAGACGGUCUUGUUUCCAGCUCUUUCCAAGGGGAGAAAGCACUCUCUUUCCCCAUGGCUCCUACAGCCUACAGGGUACCUCUGAUACAAAGAGCUGACACCCAGUUUGUUUCCAGCCCUGAUCUCACCGCCUGGGAACCUCUGCUCCAAGCCAUGAUCUACAUUGCUCUAGAGGUUUAAGUCACAAUGAGCUGAGUCAUUGCCACCAAAGGAGACAAGAAACAAACGGUCUUGCUUCCAGCCCUUUGGCAAGCUAAGAAACAACUGGCUCUCCACAGUGCUCUUACAGCCUACUGGUAACAACUCUUACAAAGGCGUGUGAAACGCAGUUUCUUUCCAGCCCUGAUCUCGCUGAAGUAGAACCUCUACUCUGCCGUGUAAUUCUUUGCCCUAUAGGUGGAAGUCACAAUGUCCUGCCAGGCUUCCUCAAGAGGAGACAGGCCAAAGACCGUCUCGCAUCCAGCUCUUUGGCAAGUGCACUUACAGCCUUCAGGGAACAUCUCUUACAAAGGCCUGUGAAACGCAGUUUCUUCCCAGCCCUGAUCUCGCUGAAGUAGAACUUCUGCUCUGCCGUGUAGUGCAUUGCCCUAGAGGUGGAACUCACAAAGCCCUGCAUGGCUUCCUUAAGAGGAGACAGGCCACAGACCGUCUUGCUUCCAGCUCUUUCCCAAGGUGAGAAAGAACUCGCUUUCCCCUGGGCUCUUAGAGCCUAUCGGAAACGUCUGAUACAAAGACCAGAAAUGCAGUUUGUUUCCUGCCCAGUUCUCUCGGCCUUGGACUUCUACUCGAAGCCAUGUCCUACAUUGCUAUAGAGGUGGAAGUGAGAAAGCUAUGAGUCAUUGCCUCCAAAGGAGACAAACCACAAACUGUCUUGCUUCCAGCCCUUUUGAAAGCUACGAAACAACUCUCUCUCCACAGUGCUCUUAAAGCCUACCGGGAACAUCUCUUACAAAGGCCUGUGAAACACAGUUCUUGCCAGCCCUGACCGCGCUGAAGUAGAACUUCUGCUCUGCCGUGUUCUACAUUGCUCUAGAGGUGGAAGUGAGAAAGCUAUGAGUCAUUGCCUCCAAAGGAGACAAGACACAAACGGUCUUUCUUCCAGCUCUAGGAAGCUAAGAAACAAGUGGCUCUCCAUCUUGCUCUUAUAGCCUACUGGGAACAUCACUUACAAAGACCUGUGAAACGCAGUUUCUUUCCAGCCCUGAUAUCCCUGAAGUAGAACUUCUGCCCUGCCAUGUCCUACAUUUCCCUAGAGAUCCAAGGCACAAAGUAUUGCCUUGUUUUCUCAAGGGAAGAGAGGCCACAAAGCUUCUUCCUUCGAGAUCUUUGGGAAGAUAAGAAACAACUUGGUCUCCACACUGCUCUUAAAGCCUACCGGGAACAUCUCUUACAAAUGCCUGUGAAAUGCAGCUUCUUCCCAGCCCUGAUCUCGCUGAAGUAGAACUUCUGCUCUGCCGUGUAAUAUAUUUCCCUAGAGGUGGAAGUCACAAAGGGCUGAGUCAUUCCCACCAAAGGAGACAAGCCACAAACGGUCUUGCUUCCAGCUGUUUUGGAAGCUAAGAAACAACUCGCUCUCCACAGUGGUCUUACAUCCUACUUGGAACUUCUCUCAGAAAUCCUAUGAAACGCAGUUUCUUCCCAGCCAUGUUCUUGCUGAAGUAUAAAUUCUGUUCUGCCGUGGAAUACAUUGCCCUAGAGGUGGAAGUCACAAAGCCCUUCCUGGCUCCAAGAUGAGACAGGCCACAGAUUGUCUUGCUUACAGCUCUUUCACAAGGUGAGAAAGAACUCGCUUUCCCCUGGGCUCUAACAGAGUAACGGGAACCUCUGAUACAAAGACCUGAAAUGCAGUUUGUUUCCAGUCCAGAUGUCACCGCCUUGGAACUUCUGCUAUAAGCCCUGUGGUACAUUGCUAUAGAGGUGGAAGUGACAAAGUGAUGACUCAUUGCCUCCCAAGGAGACAAGCCACAAACCUUCUUGCUUUCAGCUCUUUGGGAAGCUAAGAAACAACUCGAUCUCCACAGUGCUGUUACAGCCUACCGGCACCAUCUCUCACAAAGGCCUGUCAAAUGCCGUUCUUUCCAACCCUGAUCUCGCUGAAGUAGCACUCCUGCUCUGCCGUGUCCUACAUUGAACUAGAGGUGCAAGGCACAAAUUCCUGCCUUGUUUCUUCAAGGGGAGACAGGCCACAAAUCUUCUUGGUUCCAGCUCUUUGGGAAGCUAAGAAACAACUUGCUCUCCAGAGUUCUCUUACAGGCUACCGGGAACAUCUCUCACAAAGCCCUGUGAAACGCAGUUUCUUUCCAGCACUGAUCUUGCUGAAGUAGAACUUCUGCUCUGUCCUGUCCUACAUUGCCCAAGAGGUGCAAGGCACAAAGUCCUGCCUUGUUUCCUCAAGGGGAGACAGGUCACAAAGCCUCUUGCUUCCAGCUCUUUCACAACGUGACAAAUAACUCGCUUUCCCCUGGGCUCUUACAGUCUAUAGGCAAGUUCUGAUACAAAGACCUGAAAUGCAGUUUGUUUCCAUCCCAGUUCUGGGCGUCUUGGUACUUCUACUCGAAGUCAUGUCCUACAUUGCUCUAGAGGUGGAAGAGACAAAGCUAUGAGUCAUUACUUCGAAAGAAGACAAACCACAAACGGUCUCGCUUCCAGCUCUUUGGGAAGCUAAGAAACAACUCGGUCUCCACAGUACUCUUAAAGCCUACCGGGAACAUCUCUUACAAAGUCCUGAGAAACGCAGUUUCUUCCCAGCCCUGAUGUCGCUGAAGUAGAUCUUCUGCUCUGCAAUGUCCUACAUAGCUCUAGAGGUGGAAGUGACAAAGCUAUGAGUCAUUGCCUCCAAAGGAGACAAGCCACAAAGGGUCUUUCUUCCAG